RNAcentral lists this long non-coding RNA (1206 nucleotides) under Piliocolobus tephrosceles (Ugandan red Colobus). RNAcentral's name for it is "lncRNA (ENSPTEG00000030802.1)". The stretch from base 247 to 425 matches the Rfam family "Pvt1 oncogene conserved region 1". The record is from RNAcentral. Lineage: Eukaryota; Metazoa; Chordata; Mammalia; Primates; Cercopithecidae.
GCCCGCCCCGCCUCCGCGCGCGGCCCUCCCCGGCUCAGUGCCCGGCGCUGCCGGGAAGCGGGCAGAGGGGCGCACCGGGCGGCGGGCGGGGACCUGGGGAAGGCCGGGAGCGCGGGGACUGAGGACGCACGCGGCGGGCCGGGCGGCGCGCGCCUCCCCCCUCCCCCGAGGCCCGAGCGCGAGUCGCCGUGACGUCACUGGCCACCCGCCAGCCCCGCGCUCCUCCGGGCAGAGCGCGUGUGGCCGCCGAGCACAUGGGCCCGCGGGCCGAGCGGGCUCAGGGAGGCCGGGACGAGGAGGGGCGACGAGGAGCUGCGAGCAAGGAUGUGCCUCGGGACCCCCCCGCACCUUCCCGUGGAUUUCCUUGCGGAAAGGAUGUUGACGGUCCCUGUGACCUGUGGAGACACGGCCAGAUCUGCCCUCCAGAGGAAAACCUUCCUGGAAGCUGCAGAAGGACAAAUGCAGAAUCCAUGUCUGGGAGAAACCUCGUGGCCUGGUCUCCAUUAUUUGAGAUGAGUUACAUCUUGGAGGCCUGAUCUUUUGGCCAGAAGGAGAUUAAAAAGAUGCCCCUCAAGAUGGCUGUGCCUGUCAGCUGCAUGGAGCUUCGCUCGAGGAUUUUCUGAGCCUGAUGGAUUUACAGUGAUCUUCGGUCGUCUGAGGAAUAACUCUGGUGGAACAAUGCACUGGAAUGACAUACGCCCUGCACAUUUCAGGAUACUAAAAGUGGUUUUAAAGGAGGCCCUGGAUGAAUGCCUCAUGGAUUCUUACAGCUUGGAUGUCCAUGCGGGAGGAAGGACCGCAGCUGGCUGUGAGGACUGAGAUCUCUGUUUACUUGGGUCUCUGCCAACUUCCUUUGGGUCCCCCUAUGGAAUGUAAGACCCCGACUCUUCCUGGUGAAGCAUCUGAUGCAUGUUCCGUCCGGCGCUCAGCUGGGCUUGAGCUGACCACACUCCCUGGAGCCUUCUCCCGAGGUGGCGCAGGUGUCCUUGGCACAUACAGCUAUGGUGAUGGUACUUUAAGUGGAGGCUGAAUCAUUUCCCCUUUGAGCUGCAUGGCACAUGGCUCCCUUGGUGUUCCCAUUUUAUAGCCAGGACACAGAUUUGGAGAGGUAAGUGGCUUACCGGAGGCCGUGUGCUAACAGAGAAGAUGAAGAGAUGAUUGAAGCAGGCCUGAGGGUCUAUACAUUUUCCACAUACUUUCCAUAUC